RNAcentral lists this ribosomal RNA (297 nucleotides) under uncultured bacterium. Its description in RNAcentral is "partial 16S ribosomal RNA". It matches the Rfam family "Bacterial small subunit ribosomal RNA", at positions 335 to 621 of the family's 1533-position model. The record is from RNAcentral.
ACUCCUACGGGAGGCAGCAGUGGGGAAUAUUGCACAAUGGGGGAAAGCCCAUCGAUGCAGCCAUGCCCGCGUGUGUGAAGAAGGCCUUCGGGUUGUAAAGCACUUUCAGUAGGGAGGAAGGUAGUGUAGUUAACACCUGCAUUAUUUGACGUUACCUACAGAAGAAGCACCGGCUAACUCCGUGCCAGCAGCCGCGGUAAUACGGAGGGUGCAAGCGUUAAUCGGAAUUACUGGGCGUAAAGCGUGCGCAGGCGGUCUGUUAAGCGAGAUGUGAAAGCCCCGGCUCAAGCCUGGGAA